Long non-coding RNA from Callithrix jacchus (white-tufted-ear marmoset), 6363 nucleotides. RefSeq lists it as uncharacterized. NCBI's taxonomy places the organism in Eukaryota, Metazoa, Chordata, Mammalia, Primates, Cebidae. The record is from RefSeq and is a predicted model, not a curated record.
UUUGAUGUUUAUUUUAUUACUUUCCACCAUUUGUGUAGAAAACGUACACAAUCCUCUCUUAUCUUUAUUCAGGGAGUUUUGAAGGCAUUCACAGUGGGGCGGGCAACAUAGCCCCAUUCACAGCUCUGUUAUUCUUGUAUUUGGGGAAGGAUCGCGUUCGGAGAUUAGACUGAUAGAAGUAUGCGCCUCGGGAGCCAGAUAGCAUCUUGCUCUGUCACCCAGGCUGGAGUGAAGUGGCUCAACCUCAGCUCACUGCAACCUCUACCUCCCGGGUUCAAGCGAUUCUCCUGCCUCAGCCUCCCGAGUACCUGGGACUACAGAUGCUGAAACCAAUGCCUUGCUUGAAGCCUGGAAGAGGAUGUUGACCUGGAGGACCAUAAAGGCCAAAAUUUAGAGAAGAUGGUGCUGGUAAAUGAAUUCACAAGAAAUGCUUCCUUGCCAACUCACUUUUCCACUAACCUGUCAUCCUCCUGGUCCUGACUGUUCCAUAAAAGCCAUCUUUUGAAGACUGUCAUCCCAACGGAAGAGCCAUCUGAGAUGACACCAGUUUCCAGCAGCUCCCGAGAUACUACCCAGAGGGUGCCCAAUGAAAGCAGGUGGCUUCCAUCAGCAUGGAGCCCUGAGGCAGAGAGGUUCGCAUAUGGUGUCUCAACUGUUAGUGCUUUUUGUACUCCGUGAUUCAUGCUUAGAAAUGGAAAAAAAAACCCACCUCCUCCUCCCGAGGCAUCUGUGAUUGGCAACUCCUCUUAGGAUUGUGCUGUAUGGACUUCAUGGGAAGAUGCAGCGCAUCUGACAGGAGAGGAUGUAACUGUUUCUUCGCUGCUUCCAGCAGCUUGUGACAAUGUCAUAACUGAAUUCUUUGGGGGGGCUCUUUGGUUUGUCAGUGGUUCAGGCUGCUUCAGGCUUGGCUUGACAAGAAUUUUUUGAACACUUUUAAAGAGAAUGUUGCCCAUUGGCUAUAAUCCCCAGCAAGAAUAAGAAAAAGUAAUGAUGACAUGUCAGUUUGGGGAUUCCAGAAUAUACUUGACAGCUGGCCAUCAGAUGACCGGCAGCAGCAAAAUGUACAAACGAAUAUCUUAACAAUUGAUUAGAGCAGAAUGGGCUGUCUCACAAACAUUUAUUUACCUAUAGAAACAGCACAAUACAUUUAGAAGUUUAUGUAGAGAGUCUUGUUAUAAUUGAUUGUUGCACAUAAUUUGGCCAAUUUUGUGUGAAGAAUGGUAGUGGGGGGCUUCAUAAAUGAGUCAGUGGAUGUCACAUCUGCACGCUAGGAUUGGACUCCUGUCCCCAAACCAUCUUUACUGAUCUACUUGCCUUGCUAGGUUGUUGUGAAGAUUAAACGCAAUCCUGUGUGUUAAUGUGUUUCGUGAAUUGCAGUGCACGUUGCCAACAUCAGUUACUAUUAUUAUCCUCAGACAGGAAAACUGAUCCCGGAGAAAAAGUGAGACAGAGCUCCUAGAAAGAUCACUUCUUUGCCUAGAUGUGGCACUGGCCCACAGGUUAGAGGAAGAUAUUUACCUGCCAGGGAUCUUCCUAGAGACAAAACAGCCUGUCCUUUGGGAUGUAAUCAAUGAGAGUUUGUUACUGGAACAUGCAGCAGAGAAAGGCUGCCGUGAAGGGAGACCCAAGCAUAGUCUUAGAAGGUGAAGUUGAGGGGUGGGGAGCAGGGGCGCUAUAACUCCAGGAAAGCAGGAAGACGCUCUGACCACAGACAGGUUUUUUGAGUAGAAAGACUGCAUGUUGGAGAAAUGAACUGCUCAUGCUCUCAUAAUCUUAGUUCACACAUUGAACACAUAUUUAUCAAGCACAGAUUCUGAGGUCUCCCUCAUUCUGGUAUCAUGGAGGAAAGCCAUCCUGAAAACAACCACACUACCAUCACUCUGACUGACUCAGCAGGCCAGCCACUGAAUAGGAAUUUAGUUUCCAUUCUAGACUCUGUCACUGUGAGGGUAAUUCUUGGGCAAAAGUCCCUCUAGAUUUCAGGAGAGUAGCAGACGAGUCCAUUGAUGGGUGAGGAGUGAUAACCCAGUUGGCGGCAGCUCUCCUGGCUCCUUCCAAAUGUCCUCCUGUAGGUUAUCUUCAAAUGCCCAUCAAGAUGAUUAUUUGAUAAGUGAAUUGUCUGCUAGGGCUGCCAGACCACAGACAUUUCUUUUCUCAUGGUCCUGGAGGCUGGAAGUCCAAGGUCCAGGUGCUGCAGGCUUGGUUUCUCCUGAGGCCUCUCUCCUGGGCCUGCAGAUGCUGACUUCUCCCUGUACCCUCACAGGGACUUCCCUCUCUGUGUGUCUGUGUCAUCACCUCCUCUUCUUACAGGGACACCUGUCAUAUUGGAUUAGGGCCAACCCUUAAGAACUCAUUUAACCUUAAUUACUGCUUUAAAGACCCCAUCCCUAAAUACAACCACAUUCUGAGGCACUGUGUGUUAAGAUUUCAAUGUAGGAAUUGUAGGGGAAGAUAAUCCAGCCUGGAACACUAUGUACAAAUUCCAGUUAUUAAUCUGUUUGUGUCAAACUGCUUAUUUCACGGGAUUUUGGCCACCCUCCCCACCAGCUUGAUUCCCUCGUUUCCCUGUGCCAAUCUGGCUGCUGGUUAGUGCCCUGGGUAGGGGCCACACAGAGGUAGACAGCAUGGUGAGAGGAAGUGAACUGGACAGGGGGUUGACCCCAACAGGUGGAGGAAUGUCAGACAGGUUAGGUCAUGGGUGAGAGGAAACAGAGCCACUCUUUAGGCCAGCAGAGACUCCUUCAAGUAAGGGUGUGUGUGCUAACUGAUUGCAGCAUCCACAGCAGGAAAGGAUACUGGCUGCAUCAUGGCAACUGCCACCCUCAGCCUCAGGUGGGAGUUCCUUCUGUGCAUGAUAUUCUUGUUAAUAGCCUGAAACAUUUCUUGAAGGGGUUGUCAGAAUUCUAGGAUGGUCAGGACAGGAUCUCAAGGGCCAGUAAUCAGGCUGGAGCCUGAAAUGGUCUUGGGUCCACCAAAGCCAGACAAGAGAAGGUUUGCUGAGAGUAUCUAAAAUGUGCUGAAGGAACAGGUGAACAGCAUAAUUUUUUUUGUAUCUCUAUCAGAUAUAUUCCCAAGCAUUAAAAGUUGAAAUACAAGGCAAACAAAAAGUAACUGACAUUGAUAAACAUGCAAAUGACAGUAUAUUCAAGUGUCUACAAGUAGCGGUGGAGGCCAGCUGAUAGAACUGCCUCUUUUGCAGAUGGGAAAAUUCAAGUCCAGGCAGUUCCAGGUCAAAGCCGCACAUGGAGUUGGUGGGAGACACGGAACUGGAGUCUCUCCGAGUCCAACGCUAUUUCUACAACCCACAUGGGCCAUGGCUUUUAGCAUUAGGGGGAAUUUUAUUCUUUAUAGCAUACUAUCUCUAGGAAGCUGGGAUUUCUAAUUCUCCUUGGGUCUUAACUAAGUACUUGUCACUUAAAAAUUAGGCACUUUAAUUAUAUGAAAAAGCACAUGACUUAUACACAAAUUUCAAAAUGAACUUAAAAAUUAGACAGCAUCAGGAAUUAAUUAAGUCAUUUAAUUCCUCAGCCAACAGGUUAAUUUUAGUAGAAAACUGCUUUAGUAUACACCAAAUGCAAUACUAAUUUGAGAAUGUUUUCAUUAUUUCUACUGUGUGUUUCUUUUUAUCCUUCUUUUAUUCUUUAUCUCCUCACACAAAUAUAGAGCAGGGAGUCUUCUCUCUGUAUGCCUGUUGGUGAGCAUUCCAGAGGAUGUGCAUUAAAAAGUGCAGGACUGCCAGGCAUGGUGGCUCAUGCCUGUAAUCCCAGCAGUUUGGGAGGCCAAGGCACGUGAAUCAUCUGAGGUCAGGAGUUCGAGACCAGCCUGGCCAACAUGGUGAAACCCCAUCUCUACUAAAAAUACAAAAAUGAGACGGCGUGGUGGCAGGUACCUGUAACCCCAGCUACUUGGAAGACUGAGGCAGGAGAAUCGCUUGAACCCGGGAGGUGGAGGUUGCAGUGAGCUGAAAUCAUGCCAUUGCACUUUAGCCUGGGUAACAAAAGUGAAACUCCAUCUCAAAAGAAAAAAAAAAAGUGCAGGACCAACUUUACAAUUAAGAGAUUUUGAAGUAAUGUUUCUUUCUGUUUUCUACUGACCUACCUGACAACUUUGUCUGAAAAUACCUGACUCCACUAACAUCUUGUUUAUUUGAAGUUCUUCUUGUUUAGUUUUCCCUUAGCACAUUUUCUUUUGUAAAUAAGAAAAGAUACAAUAAAAGCACAAAAAAUAAAAUAAUUACCUUAAUCUUAACUGCACUAACAUACUUUGAAGUUCUCUUAAAGAAAAAACAUGACUUCACCAAUAUCUAACAUUCUCUUGACAAUCAGUGAAAAGAAAAUUUACACAUCACAAAAUAAAAUUACAUAAACAGAUUACUUAAGAAGCCAGAAUUUCCAGUUAUGCACAAGAUUUUCCACAGAUAUUAGACUCUACCCUUGUACACUAAAUAAACAGCAAGUGAUAAGGAAUAGAAACAGUUCCUGUUUCCUUGUUGAGCAACCAAGCAACACAGAAGAAAUCAUUUUUGUUUAGAAAGAAAAUAAAAGAAAGCAACGUUUCACAGACAGGGAGAGAUGUUACCACCAAACCAAAGGUCUCUAUAAAUUCUAUGUUUAUUCCACGUUGUGGCUCCACAUCUGACUGGGCAAGGCUUCUAGGGUUGGGCAUCUCUGAGACUCUGUUUGCCAGGCCGCCCCAUUGUCAAGGGUAGAGAACCUGGAACCAUCUAAAUCAUUCAGCAAACCGCAAGAUUCUGGGGCCACACCCAAAGAAACAGGGCAGAAGGCUCACCAGCAUAACAGGAGGCCCGAAGCCCGAGCAGUGUAAUAACAUAAUGCACAGUGUAAUUAAGCAAUUACUAGGAACUCAAAUGAAGGGUGUUAUUGUUUUGCCCUUCCUCACCGAGUAUCAACUGUAAGCCUGGCCACAGCUGUACUAAAGCCAAACUCUACAUAAACGUCUCCCUCUCACCCUUGCCUCCCCUUCCUCGUAAAGAGCCAGGGGCCUGGCAAAUAUUCUCCCAGUCACUUUGGGUCAUAGGUGGAACACUGGCUUUUCCAACAACAUUAGGAGGCGGUGCCCAGCCUUGGUUGUUGUAACAGCUACAAGGUCCACACCUCUCGGGGUGUGAGGAAGGCCUCCUUGACUAAGGAAAUUGAGAUACUGUAAGUGUUCCAAAGACCCUUGUGUCUAAAAGCCAGAGCUACCGUAAUCUCCUUCCAGUUCUGGCACUAUCUUCCAUUUCAUAUCAAGUCUCAAGAAAGGGUCCUGGGCCCAUGAGUGCUGGCGGCCACCUCCUCUUUCAUUCUCUCUGACUCUACUCUGUCCACAGAGGCCAAGCAGCCUGGAGCACAGUAGGUUGAGCACAGACUGUAAGGUGGGUGCCUGGAUUCACACCCAGCUCAAACACCUGGGAAACCAAGAGACAUUGGACCCACACUCCAUCCUGCCCCACUGCUUCCCAGACAUAUGUUCUCAGGCUCUUCCAGAAUGUAGAAUUCAUAUGAAGCCCUGUUCAGCUCACAGCGAUUUUAUGGGAGUUAAGAGUAGACAUCUGAAAGCUGCUAAGUAGAAAAAUUGCAUAGUGCGGCAUAAUAUAAGGAAGCUUGUCAGUGGGUCUAAAUACUGCUUUCCUCCUGGUCAAUUCCACCCUUCUGAGGUGAGGUUUCCUGUCUUACAGAGCUCUCUCUGCACCAUUCUCUCACUGGUCAACACGUCAGUGUUCCCUAGUUGGUUUGUAGGAGUUAGUUUCUCUUCUGUUACCACAUUAUUUCUUUGCAAAGGAAAUCAGAGUUUUCACUGCCUCUAGAACCUUUACUGGGAUAGCAUACUUAGAAGUCUUUUUUAAUGGUUGUUCAAAACAUUUUAUUUGUUAAGUUGGAUUUGUGGUAAGUUUUGUAGGUUGGCUCAAAUAUUCAUAAUUUACCCUGAAUGAAAACUUAGCAUGUACAGGUUGAGUAUCUCUUACCUGAAUUGCUUGGGACCAGAAGUGUUUCAGAUUCUUGAUAUUUUUGGAUUUGGGAAUAUUUGCAUCUACAUAAUGAGAUAUCUUGCAGACGAGACUGAAGUCUGAGCAUGAAAUUCAUUUGUUUCAUAUACACCUUACACGCAGAGCUGAAGGUAAUUUUAUAAAGUAUUUUGAAUAAUUUUGUGCAUGAAAGAAAACUGUGGCUGCAUUUUGACUGUGACCCAUCACAUGAAGUAGAGUGUGGAAUUUUCCACUUGUGGCAUCACGUUGGGGCUCAAAAAGUUUCAGAUUUUGGAGCAUUUCAAAUUUUGGAUUUUCUGAUGAAGGAUGUGCAACUUCUAUGUGUCUUCUAAUAAUAUUUGGCCUUUAAAUUAAAAGAACAUUCCAGAUCCAGUAAA